This 1051-nucleotide ribosomal RNA is filed under the name Mammaliicoccus sciuri. Its description in RNAcentral is "bacterial SSU rRNA". It matches the Rfam family "Bacterial small subunit ribosomal RNA", at positions 502 to 1532 of the family's 1533-position model. Lineage: Bacteria; Bacillati; Bacillota; Bacilli; Caryophanales; Staphylococcaceae. The record is from RNAcentral.
UACCUGCCACCCGCGCGUAAUACGUAGGUCGCAAGCGUUAUCCGGAACUAUUGGGCGUAAAGCGCGCGUAGGCCGUUUCUUACGCCUGAUGCGAAAGCCCACGGCUCAACCGUGGAGGGUCAUUGGAAACUGGGAAACUUGAGUGCAGAAGAGGAGAGAGGAAUUCCAUGUGUACCGGUGAAAUGCGCAGAGAUAUGGAGGAACACCACUGGCGAAGGCGGCUCUCUGGUCUGUAACUGACGCUGAUGUGAGAAAGCCUGGGGAUCAAACAGGAUUAGAUACCCUGGUAGUCCACGCCGUAAACGAUGAGUGAUAAGUGUUCAGGGGGUUUCCGCCCCUUAGUGCUGCAGCAUAACGCAUUAAGCAACUCCGCCUCGGGGAGUACGACCGCAAGGUUCAAAUACAAAGGAAUGGACGGGGACCCGCACAAGCGGUGGAGCAUAGUGGUUUAAUUCGAAGGAACGCGAAGAACCUUACCAAAUCUUGACAUCCUUUGACCCCUCGUAGAGAUAGAGUUUUCCCCUUCGGGGGACAAAGUGACAGGUGGUGCAUGGUUGUCGGCAGCUCGUGUCGGGAAAUGUUGGGUUAAGUCCUCGCAACGAGCGCAACCCAUAAGUUCAGUUGCCAUCAUUAAGUUGGGCACGUCUAGGUUCACUGCCGGUGACAAAAGCCCGAGGAAGGUCGGGAUGACGUCAAAUCAUCAUGCCCCUUAUGAUUUGGGCUACACACGUGCUACAAUGGAUAAUACAAAGGGCAGCGAAUGCCGCGAGGCCAAGCAAAUACCAUAAAAUUAUUCUCAGUUCGGAUUGUAGUCUGCAACUCGACUACAUGACAGCUGGAAUCGUCUAGUAAUCGUAUGAUCAGCAUGCUACGGUGCAAAUACGUUCCCGGGUCUUAGUACACACCGUUCCCGUCACUACCACGAGAGUUUGUAGCACCCGAAGCCGGUAGAGUUACCUUUUAGGAGCUAGCCGUCGAAAGUGGGAUAAAUGAUGGGGGUGAAGUCGUAACAACCUAGCCGUAUCGAAAGGUGCGGCUGGAACCCCUCCUU